RNAcentral lists this ribosomal RNA (453 nucleotides) under Avibacterium gallinarum. RNAcentral describes it as "bacterial SSU rRNA". It matches the Rfam family "Bacterial small subunit ribosomal RNA", at positions 865 to 1359 of the family's 1533-position model. Lineage: Bacteria; Pseudomonadati; Pseudomonadota; Gammaproteobacteria; Pasteurellales; Pasteurellaceae. The record is from RNAcentral.
UCGACCGCCUGGGGAGUACGGCCGCAAGGUUAAAACUCAAAUGAAUUGACGGGGGCCCGCACAAGCGGUGGAGCAUGUGGUUUAAUUCGAUGCAACGCGAAGAACCUUACCUACUCUUGACAUCCGAGACAGGUGCUGCAUGGCUGUCGUCAGCUCGUGUUGUGAAAUGUUGGGUUAAGUCCCGCAACGAGCGCAACCCUUAUCCUUUGUUGCCAGCACUUCGGGUGGGAACUCAAAGGAGACUGCCAGUGAUAAACUGGAGGAAGGUGGGGAUGACGUCAAGUCAUCAUGGCCCUUACGAGUAGGGCUACACACGUGCUACAAUGGUGCAUACAGAGGGAAGCGAGCCUGCGAGAGCAAGCGGACCUCAUAAAGUGCGUCGUAGUCCGGAUUGGAGUCUGCAACUCGACUCCAUGAAGUCGGAAUCGCUAGUAAUCGUGGAUCAGAAUGCCA